RNAcentral lists this ribosomal RNA (540 nucleotides) under Botryosphaeria dothidea. Its description in RNAcentral is "eukaryotic LSU rRNA". The stretch from base 168 to 321 matches the Rfam family "5.8S ribosomal RNA". The record is from RNAcentral. Lineage: Eukaryota; Fungi; Ascomycota; Dothideomycetes; Botryosphaeriales; Botryosphaeriaceae.
UCCGUAGGUGAACCUGCCGACCCUUUGUGUACCUACCUCUGUUGCUUUGGCGGGCCGCGGUMCUCMKSKGCCGCCCCCCKCUCCCGGGGGGGUGGCCAGCGCCCGCCAGAGGACCAUCAAACUCCAGUCAGUAAACGAUGCAGUCUGAAAAACAUUUAAUAAACUAAAACUUUCAACAACGGAUCUCUUGGUUCUGGCAUCGAUGAAGAACGCAGCGAAAUGCGAUAAGUAAUGUGAAUUGCAGAAUUCAGUGAAUCAUCGAAUCUUUGAACGCACAUUGCGCCCUUUGGUAUUCCGAAGGGCAUGCCUGUUCGAGCGUCAUUACAACCCUCAAGCUCUGCUUGGUAUUGGGCACCGUCCUUUGCGGGCGCGCCUCAAAGACCUCGGCGGUGGCGUCUUGCCUCAAGCGUAGUAGAACAUACAUCUCGCUUCGGAGCGCAGGGCGUCGCCCGCCGGACGAACCUUCUGAACUUUUCUCAAGGUUGACCUCGGAUCAGGUAGGGAUACCCGCUGAACUUAAGCAUAUCAAUAAGCGGAGGA